UUUGGCCUACGGGAGGCAGCAGUGGGGAAUAUUGGACAAUGGGGGGAACCCUGAUCCAGCGACGCCGCGUGAGUGAAGAAGUAUUUCGGUAUGUAAAGCUCUAUCAGCAGGGAAGAAAGAAAUGACGGUACCUGACUAAGAAGCCCCGGCUAACUACGUGCCAGCAGCCGCGGUAAUACGUAGGGGGCAAGCGUUAUCCGGAUUUACUGGGUGUAAAGGGAGCGUAGACGGCAGCGCAAGUCUGGAGUGAAAUGCCGGGGCCCAACCCCGGAACUGCUCUGGAAACUGUGAAGCUGGAGUGCAGG
Molecule: ribosomal RNA, 305 nt
Filed under: uncultured bacterium
Lineage: Bacteria
Description: bacterial SSU rRNA
Rfam family: Bacterial small subunit ribosomal RNA
Source: RNAcentral